UGCAAGUCGAGCGAAGCAGUUAAGUUGAUUUCUUCGGAUUGAUUCUUAACUGACUGAGCGGCGGACGGGUGAGUAACGCGUGGGUGACCUGCCCCAUACCGGGGGAUAACAGCUGGAAACGGCUGCUAAUACCGCAUAAGCGCACAGAGCUGCAUGGCUCGGUGUGAAAAACUCCGGUGGUAUGGGAUGGGCCCGCGUCUGAUUAGGCAGUUGGCGGGGUAACGGCCCACCAAACCGACGAUCAGUAGCCGGCCUGAGAGGGCGACCGGCCACAUUGGGACUGAGACACGGCCCAAACUCCUACGGGAGGCAGCAGUGGGGAAUAUUGCACAAUGGGGGAAACCCUGAUGCAGCGACGCCGCGUGAGCGAAGAAGUAUUUCGGUAUGUAAAGCUCUAUCAGCAGGGAAGAUAAUGACGGUACCUGACUAAGAAGCCCCGGCUAACUACGUGCCAGCAGCCGCGGUAAUACGUAGGGGGCAAGCGUUAUCCGGAUUUACUGGGUGUAAAGGGAGCGUAGACGGCAAGGCAAGUCUGAUGUGAAAACCCAGGGCUUAACCCUGGGACUGCAUUGGAAACUGUCUGGCUCGAGUGCCGGAGAGGUAAGCGGAAUUCCUAGUGUAGCGGUGAAAUGCGUAGAUAUUAGGAAGAACA
Molecule: ribosomal RNA, 652 nt
Filed under: uncultured Lachnospiraceae bacterium
Lineage: Bacteria; Bacillati; Bacillota; Clostridia; Lachnospirales; Lachnospiraceae
Description: bacterial SSU rRNA
Rfam family: Bacterial small subunit ribosomal RNA
Source: RNAcentral